This 440-nucleotide ribosomal RNA is filed under the name uncultured bacterium. Its description in RNAcentral is "partial 16S ribosomal RNA". It matches the Rfam family "Bacterial small subunit ribosomal RNA", at positions 338 to 795 of the family's 1533-position model. The record is from RNAcentral.
CCUACGGGAGGCAGCAGUGAGGGAUAUUGGUCAAUGGGGGAAAGCCUGAACCAGCCACGCCGCGUGAGGGAAGACGGUUCUCGGAUUGGUAACCUCUGUUCUCUGUGAAGAUAAUGACGGUAGCAGUGGAGGAAGCUACGGAUAACAACGUGACGGCAGCCGUGGCAAUACGUAGGGAGCAAGCGUUGUCCGGAUUUACUGGGUGUAAUGGGUGCGUAGGCGGGCUUGCAAGUCAGAAGUGAAAUCUAUGGGCUUAACCUAUAAACUGCUUUUGAAACUGUAAGUCUUGAGUGAAGUAGAGGUAGGCGGAAUUCGCGGUGUAGCGGUGAAAUGCGUAGAGAUUGGGAAGAACACCGGUGGCGAAGGCAGCCUACUGGGCUUUAACUGACGCUGAGGCACGAAAGCGUGGGUAGCAAACAGGAUUAGAUACCCUUGUAGUC